RNAcentral lists this ribosomal RNA (540 nucleotides) under uncultured archaeon. Its description in RNAcentral is "bacterial SSU rRNA". It matches the Rfam family "Archaeal small subunit ribosomal RNA", at positions 339 to 879 of the family's 1478-position model. The record is from RNAcentral.
GCGCGAAAACUUUACAAUGCCGGCAACGGCGAUAAGGGAGCCUCGAGUGCCAGGUUACAAAUCUGGCUGUCGUGAUGCCUAAAAAGCAUUGCAUAGCAAGGGCCGGGCAAGACCGGUGCCAGCCGCCGCGGUAACACCGGCGGCUCGAGUGGUAACCGUUAUUAUUGGGUCUAAAGGGUCUGUAGCCGGCCGGAUAAGUCUCUUGGGAAAUCUGGCAGCUUAACUGUCAGGCUUUCAGGAGAUACUGUCUGGCUCGAGGCCGGGAGAGGUGAGAGGUACUUCAGGGGUAGGGGUGAAAUCUUGUAAUCCUUGAAGGACCACCAGUGGCGAAGGCGUCUCACCAGAACGGACCUGACGGCAAGGGACGAAAGCUAGGGGCACGAACCGGAUUAGAUACCCGGGUAGUCCUAGCCGUAAACGAUACUCGCUAGGUGUCGGCCACGGUGCGACCGUGGUCGGUGCCGUAGGGAAGCCGUGAAGCGAGCCACCUGGGAAGUACGGCCGCAAGGCUGAAACUUAAAGGAAUUGGCGGGGGAGCAC